RNAcentral lists this long non-coding RNA (343 nucleotides) under Elaeis guineensis (African oil palm). RNAcentral's name for it is "long non-coding RNA (EGUI_LNC045559)". The record is from RNAcentral. Lineage: Eukaryota; Viridiplantae; Streptophyta; Magnoliopsida; Arecales; Arecaceae.
CCCUCUUCACAUGCAUCUCUCUUCUUUUGAGCACCCUCUAUGGUCUCUCAGGCACCAUCUCUUGAUGGCACUUGCACCCACACAAGUUCAGCUCUCAUCACGAUCAAUAUAUUUUCAAACUUAAUCCCCUUCAACUGUGAUUGAACAGCAUGUCAUUGCAUAAAAAUCCAAAACCCCAAGAGGCAAGAGACUUAAAUUUACUGUGAUUAAGUUCUUUUCUAGAAUGUAGAACCAUAUUAAUGUAUUUUUGGAAUAACUUUCUGCACAUGUUGUUUGUUCAAAAAGUUUCUGCAUCAUAUAAUUGCCAUAAAAUUUAUUUCCAGAAAACUAAAUAUGUUUUUAA